This 67-nucleotide transfer RNA is filed under the name Ocypode ceratophthalmus. RNAcentral's name for it is "tRNA-Glu". Lineage: Eukaryota; Metazoa; Arthropoda; Malacostraca; Decapoda; Ocypodidae. The record is from RNAcentral.
GUUUUUAUAGUGUAACACCAACACGUUGCUUUUUCGUAGCAAAGCUGAAAUACGAUUUCUGAAAACU